UUUAUUCCACUGUAUACUCCUCGCGUUGUCCUAUGCACCGUGCAAUCAGCCACCAUAGUCAACUUACUUGUGGAUUCAGGCGGUGGUGACCAAUCUAGCCAACACGGAUGAGCAGAUCGACACGGCCAUGGCGAUUCCAUGCCGUGAUCCUGUGCUGUUCUUCCUCACCCUACCUUUAGCCGUGAGAUGCAGAGAGGAAGGCGGAAAGGAUUAUUGACAAGCAGGUGGUCAACCAUGUGCUUGCACGUAGCUUGUCCUUAAAUAUGUUCUGCAGGCAGAUGGUUCUAGGAAGGCACAAAUUUGCCAGAUUAAGAAGAUCAGCUGUUGAGGAUAAUAUCAUUGUGCUCUUUUGCAGAACAAGCUCUAUACAAGCACGAGUCCGCAAAGCUCUUGGCAAGGACUGAUCCAUCACAUCAAAACCAAAUGACCGGUGUCCCAUUUUUGCAUCCUGUUUGCUAUAAUACAAUUGCAACUUUUCUUGCAUUGGUGUUUGUUGAUGCUGAGCAUCAAUUAUGAUUUGUGUUAACCCAAUGAGGUUGAAAGAGAAGUUCCGAUUUAAAAAGUAGAAGACGUUCAUGCCCAUAAUGAAGGGGAGAGGCUAGGUUGGUUUUGACCACCAAACAUAGGACGGUGCCUUGAAUCAUGGGGUACUGAUGUUGUUGGCGUCAAAGCAUUCCCUCUGCACUCUGACAUGUUAUGAGAUUUGGAGCAAAAUUAAAGUUUCAAAUUUGAUUAAUAAACAGGAAUACUGGUGAAAUAUUUCUAAGCUCUUGAUGGAAGCUAAGCUCAGCUAGCGCAGACUCAGUGCGGUACAGAUGACUGCGGCUCGAACUAUGGUUCCACGCAUUAAGCCUUCCUACGCUAAAACAUUCAGGAUGGGGUGUGACUUAAAUUGGCACCGAGUCACUAAUGGAACUGAUGGGCUUUCCAGAUGUGAGCAGGCACACAGGUAAGGCAUACAGGUAAGCAGGCCCAAUUUUCUGUUUUUGCACACUUAGCUGCAAGCCAAGUAGGAGCCAAAGCAGCAGCUCAUUGCUCACUGUCCAGUACUCACUGUUCAAUUUCAGUAAUCGCUAAUUCUUUCUUACAAUUAUGACACAGUAAUAAUAUAGCAUGUUCAUUAUUGCCUCAUGGUAUUUCACAUGGUCAUUAAUUAUGUUUAUCGUCUCUGUGAAGUGUCACGUGGAUUUCAAAUUACUUGUUUAUGGAUACAACGUAUUUCUGCUGUUGAGGACAACAGAGUUAUACACAUAUAACUAUUCUUUCCUUGUGUUACUAGGUUGAGAGAUUUUUGUUGUUUAUAAAUCAUAUAUUUUUGUUGUUUGAUUUGCA
Panicum virgatum (switchgrass) is the source of this 1332-nucleotide long non-coding RNA. RefSeq lists it as uncharacterized. The transcript has 6 exons. NCBI's taxonomy places the organism in Eukaryota, Viridiplantae, Streptophyta, Magnoliopsida, Poales, Poaceae. The record is from RefSeq and is a predicted model, not a curated record.